AGCGCGCAGGCGCGGCCGGAUUCCGGGCAGUGACGCGACGGCGGGCGCGCGCGGCGCAUUUCCGCCUCUGGCGAAUGGCUCGUCUGUAGUGCACGCCGCGGGCCCAGCUGCGACCCCGGCCCCGCCCCCGGGACCCCGGCCAUGGACGAACUGUUCCCCCUCAUCUUCCCGGCAGAGCCAGCCCAGGCCUCUGGCCCCUAUGUGGAGAUCAUUGAGCAGCCCAAGCAGCGGGGCAUGCGCUUCCGCUACAAGUGCGAGGGGCGCUCCGCGGGCAGCAUCCCAGGCGAGAGGAGCACAGAUACCACCAAGACCCACCCCACCAUCAAGAUCAAUGGCUACACAGGACCAGGGACAGUGCGCAUCUCCCUGGUCACCAAGGACCCUCCUCACCGGCCUCACCCCCACGAGCUUGUAGGAAAGGACUGCCGGGAUGGCUUCUAUGAGGCUGAGCUCUGCCCGGACCGCUGCAUCCACAGGUGAGGUCCCUGCAGGCUAGGAGGCCCAGCAUGAGGGGACAGGAGGUGGGCUAUGAAGUAGCCGCUACAGUGUUACUCCUUUCUGGAUACAGGGCAGAAUUCCUCACUCCUUGCCCUGACUCAGCUCUGCAAGUAAACUGCCUUUGUCUUGAAAUUAUCUAUUUGUACGUUUACUCUAGCAGAUGAGUUCCAGGGGAUACGGAUGGGUCCCUAAUCACUUCUGAAUUCCUGACCCCUGUAGCUGGAAGGACAAGUCCCUCAGAGUCACGUCUCUUGUUU
Molecule: small RNA, 755 nt
Filed under: Pan troglodytes (chimpanzee)
Lineage: Eukaryota; Metazoa; Chordata; Mammalia; Primates; Hominidae
Description: retained intron
Source: RNAcentral